Molecule: ribosomal RNA, 448 nt
Filed under: uncultured bacterium
Lineage: Bacteria
Description: bacterial SSU rRNA
Rfam family: Bacterial small subunit ribosomal RNA
Source: RNAcentral
GAGAGUACCUGAAGAAUAAGCACCGGCUAACUACGUGCCAGCAGCCGCGGUAAUACGUAGGGUGCAAGCGUUAAUCGGAAUUACUGGGCGUAAAGCGUGCGCAGGCGGACUUUUAAGCCAGAUGUGAAAGCCCCGAGCUUAACUUGGGAAUUGCGUUUGGAACUGGGAGUCUAGAGUCUGUCAGAGGGGGAUGGAAUUCCACGUGUAGCAGUGAAAUGCGUAGAGAUGUGGAGGAACACCGAUGGCGAAGGCAGUCCCCUGGGAUAAGACUGACGCUCAUGCACGAAAGCGUGGGGAGCAAACAGGAUUAGAUACCCUGGUAGUCCACGCCCUAAACGAUGUCUACUAGUUGUUGGGGUAGCAAUACCUCAGUGACGCAGCUAACGCGUGAAGUAGACCGCCUGGGGAGUACGGUCGCAAGAUUAAAACUCAAAGGAAUUGACGGGGG